RNAcentral lists this ribosomal RNA (252 nucleotides) under uncultured Gardnerella sp. Its description in RNAcentral is "partial 16S ribosomal RNA". It matches the Rfam family "Bacterial small subunit ribosomal RNA", at positions 103 to 355 of the family's 1533-position model. Lineage: Bacteria; Bacillati; Actinomycetota; Actinomycetes; Bifidobacteriales; Bifidobacteriaceae. The record is from RNAcentral.
CGGGUGAGUAAUGCGUGACCAACCUGCCCCAUGCUCCAGAAUAGCUCUUGGAAACGGGUGGUAAUGCUGGAUGCUCCAACUUGACGCAUGUCUUGUUGGGAAAGUGUUUAGUGGCAUGGGAUGGGGUCGCGUCCUAUCAGCUUGUAGGCGGGGUAAUGGCCCACCUAGGCUUAGACGGGUAGCCGGCCUGAGAGGGCGGACGGCCACAUUGGGACUGAGAUACGGCCCAGACUCCUACGGGAGGCAGCAGCU